RNAcentral lists this signal recognition particle RNA (300 nucleotides) under Saimiri boliviensis boliviensis (Bolivian squirrel monkey). RNAcentral's name for it is "Metazoan signal recognition particle RNA (ENSSBOG00000011056.1)". It matches the Rfam family "Metazoan signal recognition particle RNA". Rfam says of the family: The signal recognition particle (SRP) is a universally conserved ribonucleoprotein. It is involved in the co-translational targeting of proteins to membranes. Lineage: Eukaryota; Metazoa; Chordata; Mammalia; Primates; Cebidae. The record is from Rfam by way of RNAcentral.
GUGGGGCAUGGUGGCAUGUGUCUGUAGUCCUAGCUAUUCGUGAGGCUGAGGCUGGAGGAUCGCUUGAGCCCAGGAGUUCUGGGCUGUAGUGCGCUAUGCUGAUCGGGUGUCUGCACUAAGUUCGGCAUCAAUAUGGUGACCUCCCGGGAGCAGGGGACCACCUGGUUGCCUAAGGAGGGGUGACCCGGCCCAAGUCGGAAACGGAGCAGGUCAAAACUCCCGUGCUGAUCAGUAGUGGGAUCGCGCCUGUGAAUAGCCCCUGCACUCCAGCCUGGGCAACGUAGUGAGACCCCCACCUCU